GGGAGGGUGGUUGGGUGGUUUUGGGUAUGUUUGAUCCACAAAUUUGGCUGCACAUGAUGACAUGAGAUGAUGCAUAUUUCCAAAUAGUGAAAUGAUAGAGGAACUCGCUACAUUGGUAAUCUAUGAAAAUAUGUUUUGGAUUUUGAUUAGUGAGAUUAAAUCAUUAAACUAGUGCAAAACAAAUCCAACUUGAAAUAUUGAGUUUGUAAGUACUAUAAGCUGAUAUGUACACU
RNAcentral lists this unclassified non-coding RNA (233 nucleotides) under Hevea brasiliensis (rubber tree). Lineage: Eukaryota; Viridiplantae; Streptophyta; Magnoliopsida; Malpighiales; Euphorbiaceae. The record is from RNAcentral.